UGGGCUCGUGAGCGGCGCACGGGUGAGUACGCGUGGGAAUGUACCCUUUAGUACGGAAUAGCCUCGGGAAACUGGGAUUAAUACCGUAUACGCCCUUCGGGGGAAAGAUUUAUCGCUAAAGGAUCAGCCCGCGUGACAUUAGCUAGAUGGUAAGGUAAUGGCUUACCAUGGCGACGAUGUCUAGCUGGUCUGAGAGGAUGAUCAGCCACACUGGAACUGAGACACGGUCCAGACUCCUACGGGAGGCAGCAGUGAGGAAUAUUGGGCAAUGGGCGAAAGCCUGACCCAGCCAUGCCGCGUGUGUGAUGAAGGCCCUAGGGUUGUAAGGCACUUUCAUUGGUGAAGAUAAUAACGGUAACCAAAGAAGAAGCCCCGGCUAACUUCGUGCCAGCAGCCGCGGUAAUACGAAGGGGGCUAGCGUUGUUCGGAAUCACUGGGCGUAAAGCGCGUGUAGGCGGAUAUGUAAGCUAGGGGUGAAAUCCCGGGGCUCAACCUCGGAACUGCCUUUAGAACUGCAUAUCUAGAAUCUCGGAGGGGAUAGGGGAUUUCCUAGUGUAGAGGUGAAAUUCGUAGAUACUAGGAGGAACACCGGUGGCGAAGGCGCCUAUCUGGACGAGCAUUGACGCUGAGACGCGAAAGCGUGGGGAGCA
RNAcentral lists this ribosomal RNA (650 nucleotides) under uncultured bacterium. RNAcentral describes it as "bacterial SSU rRNA". It matches the Rfam family "Bacterial small subunit ribosomal RNA", at positions 84 to 770 of the family's 1533-position model. The record is from RNAcentral.